UGGGGAAUAUUGGACAAUGGGCGAAAGCCUGAUCCAGCAAUGCCGCGUGUGUGAAGAAGGUCUUCGGAUUGUAAAGCACUUUCGACGGGGACGAUGAUGACGGUACCCGUAGAAGAAGCCCCGGCUAACCUCGUGUCAG
This 139-nucleotide ribosomal RNA is filed under the name uncultured bacterium. Its description in RNAcentral is "partial 16S ribosomal RNA". It matches the Rfam family "Bacterial small subunit ribosomal RNA", at positions 355 to 511 of the family's 1533-position model. The record is from RNAcentral.